UACGUAGGGUGCGAGCGUUGUCCGGAAUUAUUGGGCGUAAAGAGUUCGUAGGCGGUUUGUCGCGUCGUUUGUGAAAACCAGCAGCUCAACUGCUGGCUUGCAGGCGAUACGGGCAGACUUGAGUACUGCAGGGGAGACUGGAAUUCCUGGUGUAGCGGUGAAAUGCGCAGAUAUCAGGAGGAACACCGGUGGCGAAGGCGGGUCUCUGGGCAGUAACUGACGCUGAGGAACGAAAGCGUGGGUAGCGAACAGG
RNAcentral lists this ribosomal RNA (253 nucleotides) under uncultured bacterium. RNAcentral's name for it is "partial 16S ribosomal RNA". It matches the Rfam family "Bacterial small subunit ribosomal RNA", at positions 524 to 776 of the family's 1533-position model. The record is from RNAcentral.